AAUACGGGGGCUCAACCUCCGCCCGCCGUUGAAACUGACGGUCUUGAGUGGGCGAGAAGUAUGCGGAAUGCGUGGUGUAGCGGUGAAAUGCAUAGAUAUCACGCAGAACUCCGAUUGCGAAGGCAGCGUACCGGCGCCCAACUGACGCUGAAGCACGAAGGCGUGGGUAUCGAACAGGAUUAGAUACCCUGGUAGUCCACGCAGUAAACGAUGAAUGCUAGUUGUCCGGGGCGAUUGAGUUCUGGGUGACACAGCGAAAGCGUUAAGCAUUCCACCUGGGGAGUACGCCGGCAACGGUGAAACUCAAAGGAAUUGACGGGGGCCCGCACAAGCGGAGGAACAUGUGGUUUAAUUCGAUGAUACGCGAGGAACCUUACCCGGGCUCAAACGCAGGAGGGAUGUUUUUGAAAGGAGGCAGCCAGCAAUGGUCUCCUGCGAGGUGCUGCAUGGUUGUCGUCAGCUCGUGCCGUGAGGUGUCGGCUUAAGUGCCAUAACGAGCGCAACCCCUACCUACAGUUGCCAUCGCGUGAUGGCGGGCACUCUGUGGGGACUGCCUGCGCAAGCAGUGAGGAAGGCGGGGAUGACGUCAAAUCAGCACGGCCCUUACGUCCGGGGCGACACACGUGUUACAAUGGCAGGUACAGCGGGAAGCCACCCGGCGACGGGGCGCGGAACCCGAAAACCUGUCUCAGUUCGGAUUGGAGUCUGCAACCCGACUCCAUGAAGCUGGAUUCGCUAGUAAUCGCGCAUCAGCCACGGCGCGGUGAAUACGUUCCCGGGCCUUGUACACACCGCCCGUCAAGCCAUGGAAGCCGGGGGUGCCUGAAGUGCGUGACCGCAAGGAGCGCCCUAGGGUAAAACCGGUGACUGGGGCUAAGUCGUAACAAGGUAACCGUAA
Molecule: ribosomal RNA, 898 nt
Filed under: uncultured bacterium
Lineage: Bacteria
Description: bacterial SSU rRNA
Rfam family: Bacterial small subunit ribosomal RNA
Source: RNAcentral